This 730-nucleotide ribosomal RNA is filed under the name uncultured bacterium. Its description in RNAcentral is "bacterial SSU rRNA". It matches the Rfam family "Bacterial small subunit ribosomal RNA", at positions 771 to 1501 of the family's 1533-position model. The record is from RNAcentral.
AACAGGAUUAGAUACCCUGGUAGUCCACGCCGUAAACGAUGUCGACUUGGAGGUUGUUCCCUUGAGGAGUGGCUUCCGGAGCUAACGCGUUAAGUCGACCGCCUGGGGAGUACGGCCGCAAGGUUAAAACUCAAAUGAAUUGACGGGGGCCCGCACAAGCGGUGGAGCAUGUGGUUUAAUUCGAUGCAACGCGAAGAACCUUACCUACUCUUGACAUCCAGAGAACUUGGCAGAGAUGCCUAGGUGCCUUCGGGAACUCUGAGACAGGUGCUGCAUGGCUGUCGUCAGCUCGUGUUGUGAAAUGUUGGGUUAAGUCCCGCAACGAGCGCAACCCUUAUCCUUUGUUGCCAGCGAUUCGGUCGGGAACUCAAAGGAGACUGCCGGUGAUAAACCGGAGGAAGGUGGGGAUGACGUCAAGUCAUCAUGGCCCUUACGAGUAGGGCUACACACGUGCUACAAUGGCGCAUACAAAGAGAAGCGACCUCGCGAGAGCAAGCGGACCUCAUAAAGUGCCUCGUAGUCCGGAUCGGAGUCUGCAACUCGACUCCGUGAAGUCGGAAUCGCUAGUAAUCGUGGAUCAGAAUGCCACGGUGAAUACGUUCCCGGGCCUUGUACACACCGCCCGUCACACCAUGGGAGUGGGUUGCAAAAGAAGUAGGUAGCUUAACCUCCGGGAGGGCGCUUACCACUUUGUGAUUCAUGACUGGGGUGAAGUCGUAACAAGGUAACC